RNAcentral lists this long non-coding RNA (1510 nucleotides) under Gadus morhua (Atlantic cod). RNAcentral describes it as "lncRNA (ENSGMOG00000030534.1)". Lineage: Eukaryota; Metazoa; Chordata; Actinopteri; Gadiformes; Gadidae. The record is from RNAcentral.
GUGCUGAUAAAAGGAUAUGCGGAGGUCAUACCCCAAGAUGAGUUGCAAACAAAAAGUGGCAAAGUGUGGUACAUACCACAUCAUGGGGUCUACCACCCACGCAAAAAGAAGUUACGUGUGGUGUUUGACUGUGCUUCGACGUUUCAUGGAACCUCUCUGAAUAGAGAAUUGCUGCAAGGGCCAGACUUGACCAACAAGCUGAUCGGGGUGAUGUUGAGGUUUCGUCUGGGUCCUAUUGCUCUGAUGACCGACAUCGAAGGCAUGUUCCAUCAGGUGAGAGUGGCAAGAGAAGAUGUGGACUUCUUGCGCUUCCUCUGGUGGCCAGACGGUUACAUUACUAAAGAGCUCAUUGAUCAUAGGAUGACAGUCCACAUCUUUGGAGCUGUAUCGUCACCCAGCUGCGCCACUUUCGCCCUGCUAAAGACAGCAGAGGAUAACCAGCAUGACUACCCAGCUGAGGUUGUGGACACUGUAAGACAGAGUUUUUACGUUGAUGAUUGUCUUAAGGCAGUGAGCUCUGUGGAAAAAGCAGCAUGGCUGUACAGAAACCUCAAAAGUAUGUGCAGCAAAGGAGGCUUCCAUUUGAACAAAUGGAUCAGUAAUCAUCGCUCUAUCCUUGCCAUGAUCCCUGAGGCAGAAAGAGCUAAAGAGGUCAAGACUCUAAAUCUCGACAGGGAUAAACUUCCCAUGGAACGGGCCCUCGGAACUCAGUGGGAUGUCGAAAGUGACGCAUUCACCUUCAGCACAGUGCUGAAACCACAGCCAACAACAAGACGUGGCAUCCUGUCAGUUGUGAGUUCAGUCUAUGACCCUUUAGGGUUCUUGGCACCGGUCGUGCUAUCUGCCAAGCAAAUCCUUCAGGUGUUAUGUAAGGCCAAGCUGGGGUGGGAUGACAAAAUUCCACAAGAACAUGCCGACAGGUGGCAGAGAUGGUUAAGACAAUUGACGCUAUUGGAUGAAUUCUCUGUGAGCAGAUGUAUCACGCCCAAAGGCUUUGGUGAGAUCUCAUCCAUACAGCUGCACCACUUUUGUGACGCAAGUGAAGUUGGCCUAGGAACAGUGUCAUACCUCAGACUCACUAACCGCAAAGAUGAAGUGCACACUGUUUUCAUCAUGGGCAAGGCAAAAGUAGCACCCCUCAAGCAGACCACCAUCCCCAGAAUGGAGCUUGCAGCGGCAGUCUUGGCGGUGCGUAUGGACCGCAUGCUGAAAACAGAGCUGCAAAUUCCAUUGGAGGAAUCGAAGUACUGGACAGACAGUACGUCCGUUUUGAAGUACAUUGCAAGCACAACAGCAAGGUUCAAAACCUUUGUGGCGAACAGAGUUGCCAUCAUACGGACACUGUCCAAAGUCCCUCAAUGGAACUACGUCAGCUCCAAGCUCAAUCCUGCUGACGUAGCUUCACGUGGCAUCCGGACAGACGCCUUUCUUAAGUCCAAAACAUGGAUCCAUGGCCCAGAGUUUCUAAAAACACAUCCAUGCAAAUGGCCAGGGCACGAUGAAGAUCCAG